UACGUAGGGUGCGAGCGUUAAUCGGAAUUACUGGGCGUAAAGCGUGCGCAGGCGGUCUGUUAAGACCGAUGUGAAAUCCCCGGGCUUAACCUGGGAACUGCAUUGGUGACUGGCAGGCUUUGAGUGUGGCAGAGGGAGGUAGAAUUCCACGUGUAGCAGUGAAAUGCGUAGAGAUGAUGGAGGAAUACCGAUGGCGAAGGCAG
This 203-nucleotide ribosomal RNA is filed under the name uncultured bacterium. RNAcentral's name for it is "partial 16S ribosomal RNA". It matches the Rfam family "Bacterial small subunit ribosomal RNA", at positions 524 to 724 of the family's 1533-position model. The record is from RNAcentral.